This 480-nucleotide ribosomal RNA is filed under the name uncultured bacterium. RNAcentral's name for it is "bacterial SSU rRNA". It matches the Rfam family "Bacterial small subunit ribosomal RNA", at positions 30 to 506 of the family's 1533-position model. The record is from RNAcentral.
UUGAACGCUGGCGGCAUGCCUUACACAUGCAAGUCGAACGGUAACAGGUCUUCGGAUGCUGACGAGUGGCGAACGGGUGAGUAAUACAUCGGAACGUGCCCGAUCGUGGGGGAUAACGCAGCGAAAGCUGUGCUAAUACCGCAUACGAUCUACGGAUGAAAGCAGGGGACCGCAAGGCCUUGCGCGGACGGAGCGGCCGAUGGCAGAUUAGGUAGUUGGUGGGAUAAAAGCUUACCAAGCCGACGAUCUGUAGCUGGUCUGAGAGGACGACCAGCCACACUGGGACUGAGACACGGCCCAGACUCCUACGGGAGGCAGCAGUGGGGAAUUUUGGACAAUGGGGGAAACCCUGAUCCAGCCAUGCCGCGUGCAGGAUGAAGGCCUUCGGGUUGUAAACUGCUUUUGUACGGAACGAAACGGUGCGGGCCAAUACCCCGCAUCAAUGACGGUACCUGAAGAAGAAGCACCGGCUAACUACGU